CACGUAGGGUGCGAGCGUUGUCCGGAAUUAUUGGGCGUAAAGAGCUCGUAGGCGGUCUGUCGCGUCGGCUGUGAAAACCUGGGGCUCAACUCCGGGCCUGCAGCCGAUACGGGCAGACUAGAAUUCGGUAGGGGAGACUGGAAUUCCUGGUGUAGCGGUGAAAUGCGCAGAUAUCAGGAGGAACACCGGUGGCGAAAGCGGCGCACUGGACCACAACUGACGCUGAGGCGCGAAAGCUAGGGGAGCAAACAGG
This 253-nucleotide ribosomal RNA is filed under the name uncultured bacterium. Its description in RNAcentral is "partial 16S ribosomal RNA". It matches the Rfam family "Bacterial small subunit ribosomal RNA", at positions 524 to 776 of the family's 1533-position model. The record is from RNAcentral.